AGUGGGUGCCUGAUUAAAGGAUUAUCUUGAUAGGAUAAAUUAUGUGAAUAUUUUAAAUUUUAAUUCAUCCCUCUU
RNAcentral lists this transfer RNA (75 nucleotides) under Pseudoglomeris magnifica. RNAcentral's name for it is "tRNA-Ile". The record is from RNAcentral. Lineage: Eukaryota; Metazoa; Arthropoda; Insecta; Blattodea; Blaberidae.